CUCUUGACCAAACUCAUUGAUCUCACCGGUUCUGUCCACUUCUGAGUUCUGCUGACCAACAGAACCUGAUGAGUCCAGUCUGGAUCAAACAGGGGUUCGACGGAGCCGCACGGCGUCUGAACCAUCCCAUUCAUCAGAACCGCUGUUCUGUACCUGCAGGUUCUAUAUCCAUGACUGAUCCAUACGGUUCCGUCCGCCCUUAUCUGGAUGAUUCAGAAGUCGGUUCUGAAGGUAAAAGGUUCUGUUUACAGUUAAACGGGUGAACUGGACUCCUGUCAGAUGAACCAGAAUCUCCCCAGAGGUCCACACAGCAGGUCCCAUACGGAACCAGUGACCUAAACAGAACCCUGAGGACCACGUUCGGCUAUGACAUCAUCAUUCUGGGUUUGACGGUUCGGUAUCGGCGUGGACCCGGAUGUCACUCAGACAGAACCUUUCAUCAGAAUCACAGUCAUCCUGGAUGAAUUAACGAAUUUUAAAUAAAGUUUUUAGAAAAAAGUUUAAAUCUUUAGAACUUUUGGACUUUAAAGGCCAAUCAAAUCUAAAUGACCCGACUGACUCCUGGGAUUACUGGUUCUGUACCAUCAGAACCAGUGGGUCGGUGGUCCCGGGUUCUUGAUGGAGGCUAACAUGAGUGAUGACAUCAUGACAGGAUGGAGGCGGUUGGACGACGACCAUUUGGUUCAGUCCAUUUGACCCAAACUCUUCUUUCUGGUUCCGGUCCAUCUGGGUUUCCCUGGUCAGGUUUGUGAUCCGCUCUGCCGCCGUUCAGCCUCCAGUGUUGAACGUAACCUAAAGGUUUACAUCCAACAUUCCUGAGGAUCUGUCUGACAACAACGCACGUGCGUGAACGUGCGUCCAAACGUCAUUAAUCUGACGGAUUACGGAAAUGCUGCGUCAUGGAUGUGUGACGUCAGUGCCUUAUAGUUUAGACUGCUUUUAUUUUGAAAGGAUCUCCGUGUGACUUCCGUGUCAAGCUCAUCAUUAAACCGUCAGAACCGAUUCCACUUGCCGGUAACGGCAAAGAUCUGCGUCUUCUGAGCCGCUGAUGUCCGGAAGUCAUCCGGUCUACCGGAAGUUCACUCUCCCGGGGUUUUCUUCAGUCCGUUAUCGUUCCAGUUUGGUUAUUUUAACCAAUUCUGUUUCUUCAAACUGAAAUCUGCAUGAAAACUUUACAGACCAGACUGACGGACGCCUUCCGCCUCACCGGAGACUCAUCGGUGUUUCCUUUGACCGGAGCUCGGUUUCCCUCGCGGGACUCACCUGCUGCGAGACGAACCGGUCCAGAACAUCUUUGACCACAGAGCCGCGCGGAAGCACGCAGGCAGAACCUCUGGACCUCGGAACCACAA
Molecule: non-coding RNA, 1352 nt
Organism: Oryzias latipes (Japanese medaka)
Lineage: Eukaryota; Metazoa; Chordata; Actinopteri; Beloniformes; Adrianichthyidae
Source: RefSeq, a predicted model, not a curated record